CUGAAAUGGGAAAGGCAGCGCCCCCGACUCUGGGGACUGGACCGAACUCCACGGUAGUGACAGCUGCCAGACCCUGAGGAGAGGACGAGAAGACCUGAGCCCUCUGCUACAAACACUGGCAGCCGAUGGAAAAUUCAGACGGAAUUGGGACAGUAUGCAGGGUUCUCCAAGCGACAGAUUAACAGAGGCUCUUGAAGAAGAACUCUGUGUAAUCACGUGUUCUGCUCAAAAGAAGGCCUGAAUGCCCAGUGCCUUAUUUGGCUUUCAGGGGUCUUGCCGUGUCACCCAGGCUGGAGUACAGUGGUGCAAUCAUAGCUCACUGCUGCCUCAAACUCCUAGACUCAAGCAAUCCUCCUGCCUCAGCCUCCCGAGUAGCUGGGACUACAGGUAGAUGAUGGGCUCCACAGGAACAGAGCAAACAUUCGCUGCUGCGUCCUACAUGGUGUUUCCUCUAAACCUGAGGCGCAGCAGACUUGUCAUCACUUAAAACCCAGUUCAGAGUGCAGGGCACUGCCAGUGAAUAGUUCAUCACCGACUCAGUUUCCCCAUGUGUAUGCUGUGGUAUUGGACCAGCAACGAGAUAAGAAGAUUUCUCCCAUUUUUGAGCGUCUAUGAUGAUUCUGAGGCACAAGGUCACAUUUGACAGUACCAGGAAACCCAGGAAACAACAAGGAAACAUGACAUAGGAUGUGUCUGCUUAGGCAGACGAUCUAUUUGGACAAGAUAAUAGACCCAGGCAUGGACGUGCUCUCCAAGAAAGAUGCCCUAACAGCUGCUCAGACUGAAGCUGAAUCAAACAUUCCAAUCCUUAGAGGUUCCAGAUAAGAUCUUGAAGGCUCCCUGAGCCACUGACAUAAUGGCCAUGCCAUGCCAAUGAUCAAACACAAAUUGUGGCCUUGUUUUGGACAGAAAUAAAGAGCCCAGUUUGUCAGUGA
Molecule: non-coding RNA, 935 nt
Filed under: Pongo abelii (Sumatran orangutan)
Lineage: Eukaryota; Metazoa; Chordata; Mammalia; Primates; Hominidae
Source: RNAcentral